This 301-nucleotide ribosomal RNA is filed under the name uncultured bacterium. RNAcentral describes it as "partial 16S ribosomal RNA". It matches the Rfam family "Bacterial small subunit ribosomal RNA", at positions 509 to 807 of the family's 1533-position model. The record is from RNAcentral.
CAGCAGCCGCGGUAAAACGUAGGGUGCAAGCGUUAAUCGGAAUUACUGGGCGUAAAGCGUGCGCAGGCGGUUAUAUAAGACAGAUGUGAAAUCCCCGGGCUCAACCUGGGAACUGCAUUUGUGACUGUAUAGCUAGAGUACGGCAGAGGGGGAUGGAAUUCCGCGUGUAGCAGUGAAAUGCGUAGAUAUGCGGAGGAACACCGAUGGCGAAGGCAAUCCCCUGGGCCUGUACUGACGCUCAUGCACGAAAGCGUGGGGAGCAAACAGGAUUAGAGACCCCUGUAGUCCCUGUCUCUUAUAC